GCAGUCACCCCGAAAUACUCUAUCUAUUCCCAAGAACAUGAGCAAAGAAAAGGAGGAAAUAUUUUAUCGGAAAAAAAAAAGCAUUUGAAAAGCUGGUUAUGAUUUCUCAGUCCAGUGACUUAUUCCAAAGUUUGAAAGUUAAGCCGGUAGCUAGAGCUAUAUUUCAAUGCAUACAUAUAGAGAUCAAAAUUGUAAGAAAUGAUGCUAUUUGCACAAGGUAAAUGCAAGUGGUCCUGUUGGUUCAUGGUGCUGUGGCAUCCGACAGCAGACCGCAUCUGUUUGUCCUAAAGUGGCAGGAAGCAAACAGUUGGCAACUAUUUGUGAGUUACUCUGGGUUAAAUUAGGGAAAGCAUGAACAUAUUCAAAACGUAACACAUUAACUAAAGUUGCAGAGUAGCAAAUGGGCCACCAGUUGCCAUUUUAUUCAUCGACUAUGCGUACAAAUUACACAUAAAUUGGAUUUCCCUUCUCUGAGCAUCCUAGGUUUGUAUAAGCAAAGCAUUAUAGAAAUAUAGGAAUCAGAACAGCAAACCAGGCAUAUUGCAUCCAGAAUGCAUGAUAGUUAAAAUAACUACAUAUGAUGGUCACAAUGACAUUCAAAAGCCACAAAAAAGUUCAAUCAACCAAUACGAACCUAGCACAUUUUCACCACAUAUAGAGAAUUGCUUGGGGUAUUUUGCUAGAUAAUUUUACCAAGUUAAGACCCAAUCCUCAUUGGCAGCAUGAUUUCAACUUUUACACUAAACAAGAUUCAAGAAGCACGUCCUUACCAAAAGUAUAGGCAGAUGGAAAUG
RNAcentral lists this unclassified non-coding RNA (794 nucleotides) under Hevea brasiliensis (rubber tree). The record is from RNAcentral. Lineage: Eukaryota; Viridiplantae; Streptophyta; Magnoliopsida; Malpighiales; Euphorbiaceae.